CAAUGCCGCCCCGGGAAGCCGUUGCCUUGGCUACCGCGCUCCGGCUUGCCCUCUGCUCUUUUCCCUCCCUCUGACGCCGUAGAAUCGAUGCCCGCGACUUCUUGGAUGGGACGCCCCGUUUCAACUGCCGUCGGCCGGCCGGAGCGGACGGCCGGCAUUGACCGCGUCAGGCAGCCAUGCUAUUCCCCAGCGAGCUCGUGACCUCAGGACAAGGGAUUUGGUGGCGGCAAAUGCUGCGACGCACCUCGUGACUCAAAGCCUUCUCCCCCCCCCUUCCACCUCCUCGACCAGGAGGAUGAAGAAGGUGAAGAAAAUCCUGGGGCUGGGGAGGAAGAAGAAUGGGCGACAGUCUCCGUCGCGGAGCCGCGUCGUGGCUUGCGCUUCAGCCCCAGGCGCUCUCAUCUGUAGCGGCGGCGACGGUUAUAACUUGCAGAGCAAGGACCUGAAUAAGCUGCACCGAGCGGCGGCCGAAGGAGAUCUCGGGGAACUCCGACACCUCCUGCAGAAACACGACCUCAACGAACAGGAUAAAGCUGGCAGAACACCUUUGCAUUUUGCCUGUGCUAAUGGAUAUACAGACAUUGUUACUUUCUUGGUGGACAACAAAUGCCAACUAGAUAGCUGUGAUAAAGAGAAGAGAUCUCCAUUAAUGAAGGCGGUGGAAUUCCAGCAAGAAUUCUGUGCAAUUUAUCUGCUUGAACAUGGAGCAGAUCCUAAUUUGAAGGACAUAGACAACAACACUGCCCUCCACUUUGCUGCCAGUAAUUCUAGUGUAUCUCUAGCAAAAUAUCUGCUUGAAAAGAAAGCUGACAUUGAAGCACAAAAUAAGGAGGGGUGCACACCGUUAAUUGUUGCUGUGGCUGAAAAUAAUCGAGAAAUGGUAGAGUUUCUUCUUCAACAAAAAGCAUCUGUGCAUGCCACAGAUAAAUUGGGAAGAAUUCCACUACUGAUUGCUGCUUCUAAUAAAAAACGUGACUUAACACAUGUUCUCCUCCAUCAUGGAUCGAAUGUUGCCCAUAGAGAUAAAAGUGGAUGGUCAGCAAAAGAUUAUGCUAUGAUUAGUGAUGAUUCCAUUCUUAAGCAGUAUGUUGCUAAAUAUUCCGACUACAAAAAUAGAGAAGAGGGCUCAUUUGAUGGUCAAAAAGUUCUGCCUAUAUUAAACAGUCCAGAAAAAGACGGAGAUACUGGUAUUAUACUUGGUGCUCCUGCUAAAAAUAAAGAAGUUUUUGAUAACCACUCUUCUGGAGAUUCUAUAAGCAAUUCUGAAAAAACAGAUGAUGAUAGCUGGCUUUCUUCAGAAGAGGAGGAACUAGGCUCCAGUCCCAAGAAACCAGAAAAACCAAGUUUGGCUCAGCUAAUGAAAGUUCCAUGGGACUUCUUGAAAAAAUUAGAUGAGAAAGAUUGCACUUUCCGAACAGAACCCUUAGGCAGUUCACAGCAAAAUAAAGCAGAUUAUGAAUUUGAAGAAUGCAAUGAAUCCCUUCCUAAGCCUUUGUUCCAAGUCAAAACCUUCCCUCAUUCUGUCCAUUCCUCACCUGGCUCCUUUUCCAAAUGUUCCCAGAGAACAUUGCAUUCUAAACAGGAGAAACCUUCAAAAGAUGAAGAAGGUGGUGAACAGGAUAUUGCCAAUAAAAAAAGUAUUGUUUGUAGGCAGUCUUGGAAUAUCUCACCAAAAGCUAAAUCAACUUCAGUUGAGGACAAAGAUGAAGAGGAGAAGUGUACAGAAUCUCCAUGGGAUUCAGAAUAUACUUCAGAAAGCCCCAGGAAGCCAACUAUUAGUUCUUUGCCUACAUCUCCUGCCAAAACUGGAAUACACAUGCACAGUAUUAUAGAAGAACCAUUUAAUGGAAAACCAGGUUUGCAGCAAAAGAUCUCAAAAGAAAACUUAGUAUGUGAAUCUCCUGCUCCUGUUCUAAAGAAGGCAAUCAUAGAAAAGCAAAAAUCAGAUUUAAUGGAAGAACUUGGUUUGGAUGAAGCAGAUGAUAUUGAAGAUACAUCUGACUGGGAUUCUACCAGUGUUUCUCUUAAAAGCUCUCCAUGUGUUAAACCAGCUGACAUGUUUAUGUUGGAAGAUCAGGUAUCUCCACAUCAAUUAAUAGAAACAAAUGUUACACCUGAAAUCUCCAUGCCUGUGAAGGAAGACUCAGAUACUCAAAACAUAAUUUCUUCGAAAGGUCAGCAAUAUAUUGAACACAAAACUAUCAAAGAAUUUAAAAGUAAAAGCAAGGAAAAAUGCCUGUUAAACACAUCCAACUCUGUAGAAAAAUCAACACACGAAAAACAGACUGACAAGACUAAAAUUGAAUAUGCUGAUGAUGAAAAUGUAACUGAAGCACUCAUGCAUAGCAAAGAAGCACAUAAUGAUCGCAAUCAUUUUGAUUCAAUACAUUGGGAAGAAAAAUAUGAAAAAAUGUGGGUUGCAAAUGAAAAAAAGGAAGUCAAGGAAAAUUUUAAGAGUAUUACAGCAGAACUAAAACAGAUGUUUGGUGAAAUUAAAGUUUAUGAGAAAAUGAGUAGCACUCCAAGCAAAGCAACAUUACGAGAUGGCUUCUGUGGUGCAGUAGAAGGCAAAGAAGAAAUACUACUUCAUCUACAAAACGUAAAAAUUGAUAUUCAAGGAAAGGGUGACAUUAAAGAUGUAAGAUCUGCUGUUGCAGAAAGGGAAUUAAAUACUGAUGACUGGAACACAAAUAAGAACCCACUGUCUAAUAAUGCAAAUGGAACAAAAGUAAACAUCAGUGAAGAAAGGAUUAACAAUUCAAUUAUACAACUGAAAGCAAAUGUAGGUGGAACUAGAGCUUCAGAAAAAUGUCUUGAAUAUUCAUUGCAAAGUCAUGAAGACAUUACAAAAGAUACAGUUUUUAAAAUUAUAGUUGCUAAUCAACCAAUUACCCCCAACAACUUAUAUAAACAUAUUAGUGUAACAAAAAAUCCAAGUGAAGAAACUGAAUACCAUUUUGAUAACAGUUUCAAUAGUUCUAAAGGUACUGAUAUUGAAAUUGGAAAUAAAGCGAAAAAUCAUAAACAAGUAUGUCCUCAAAUAUCAAAAAAAGAUCUGGAUGAAGAAUUAGAAGGUGAUGUUGCAAGAUUUAAAAAUCAGGUAGGAAUACUGCAUUCAGCUUUCCUCGCUUUGGAGAAAGAAAAGAACCAACUGCAAAAAGAGAUUGAAGAGGAAAAAAUAAAAAAGGAAUUGGAAUCUGAAGGAAAAAAAAUUGCUAAUGCUGAAACGCUGGCUGUGAAUAAUGAUGAGAAAAUAGAGCAGAAGCAUUCAAUAAGUGAAAUCCAGCAUAUUACGGCAGAAAGUGUUUUCCCAGCAGAUAAAAAGGAAGCAAUUUUUCCAGGUUUAAAAGCUACAAGAAAAAGUGAAAAUAAAAGGCGGAAUUCUAAACAGAAGGUCAGUCAACAGCUUUGUAAUAAUCUACAUCAGCCACAAGAUGAGAGCAGUUUGAGUGAAGCAUCACUUGAAGAAAGAUAUCCAGCCAAAUCUGUGAAUAGAAAAAAUAAGCUUUAUAGAACAUUGAGUAUUACUAACGAUCUGGAUGACUUAACUCCAUCUUCAGAUUCAACUACAGAGGAUAUUGAGUCACUUUCUUCCAUUUAUAAGGAAGCUAUAGUGCUAAUAGAAGAACUUAGUUUAGAUUGUAAAGCAGAUUCUGUAAGUCUCUUGAAAAUUCAGAAUAUAUUUCAUGGAUAUGAACGACUAAUUGAACAUGAGAAGGGGCGUUAUACUCAAUUGCUUGAAAAAGUAAAAAAAUUUGAAAAUCAGAGAAAUGAAUGGCAAAAAAAUCUGGAAGACUUGAAAGAUAUGAAAUCUAUAUUGGAUCAUCAAAAAGUACAAUAUGAAAGUGAAAUCACCAAUCUGAAAUUUUGUAUGAAACAAGAGGAAGAAAAAAGAAUGGGAGCUGAUAUACUACAUGAGAAAAAUCAAGAGCAGUUAAGGAAGAAAGAUGAGCAGUACUGUACGCAAAUGGAAGAAAAACAACAGCUUGAAUUGAUGUUGAGAAGCAAAGAAAUGGAGUUAAAAACAUUAACAAACCACCUGAAACAGGUUGAAGAAGAACGUAAUGAAACACAGAGACAACUUUGUCAAGAACAAAAUGCCAGAGCCAUACAAGAAGAUAUUUUAAAUACCCACUUCUGGAGGCAGAAGGAAUUGGAAGAAGAAUCAAAAAAAGUAGCAACUAAACACUCAGAGAUCAUUGAUAAUCAUGACCAUGAAAAAGAAUUAUUACACAGAAAUCAAAUACUCCAAGAUGAACUUGCUGUAUUAAAAUUAGAACUUGAUCACAUCAGGAUUCAGCAUCAGGAGUAUGAAAGCAAAUAUUUGGAAGAAAAUGAAAGUUUGAAAGAAAAAAAUGAAGAACUUAAAAAAGAACUGAAACUAAAUGAAGACGCUUUGACUCAAACAGUUUUUCAAUACAAUGGACAAAUAAAUGUAUCAAAAACUGAGGUUGCAAUGGUAGCAUCCAAAUUGGAACAUUUCAAGGAAAAUAAAGAAAGGUUGGAAAUAGAACUUGAUUCACUACGUUCUCGUUUGAGUUCUGCUCUUCAGGAACUUGAUCGUUGUCAGGUAUCAAAAAGUGAUCUUGAACGAUUGCUUCAGCGAGAGAGGGAUGAAUGGCUCCGCUUAAAAGACAAAUUAAAUCACGAUGUAUGUACUGUACGAGAAACAAACAGUGUCUUGUCUCAACAGUUAGGGAAAGCUGAAAGUAAAGCUAAUAGUCUAGAAAAUGAACUUCACCAUGCAACCCACAGUCUCCGGGAAAAGAACUUGCUGUUAGAUAGUAUUCAAAGAGAUCUAAACCAGUCACAAUGCCAACUGAAAGAACUUGAAAAUGCACAACAAGUUGCAAAGGAUCAAAUAAGCAAAUAUGUAAUAAAACAGGAAUCUAUGCAAGAACGUCUAGCACAGGUCCAAAGUGAAAAUCUCUUACUUCGACAACAGCUUGAAGAUUUUCAGAACAAGGGCAUUAUCAAAGAAAAAGCAGUGACUGAUGUUCAAGAUAAAUUCAGUGAUAUUUUUAAUAAGCUCAGAGCUGAUACUGAAAAGCAAGUUCAGAUGAUGGAAGAGAGAAAUAAAGAAUUAAUCACAAAAUGUAAUAAUUUAAAGGACCAAGUCAUUAAAUAUGAAUCUGAGAAAAUAGACAGAGAGAGUACAAUAAGGCAAUUGCAGCAAGAACUUGCAGAUUCCCUCAAAAAGCAAUCCAUGACAGAAGCUUCAUUGGAAGUUUCAACACGUUAUCGUAUUGACUUGGAGGAGGAUAAACAGCAAUUUCUGAAGGAAAUAGAAAGGAUGAAAUGUAAGUUGCAAGAUUCAGAAGUACAGACUAUCCAGUGUGAAAGAUCUACUCAUGAAUUAAGACAUGCUUUGGAUAUUAAGGAACGUGAAGCAAAUGCGGCAUCUCAGAAACUACAGGAUCUUCUGGUAGCAUCAUCAGGAACAAAUAAUGCUAUAAAACAAUUAGAAGAGCACAUACAGAGACUUGAAAUAGAAAAUGCCAGAUUGGAAGCUACAACAAACCAGCAAAGUAAUAGAAUUGAGAUACUUCAAAAAGACCUACAGGAUAGUGUUUCUGUUCAUAAUCGUCUUGAGGAAUUGAUAACCAGUUUACAGACAGCAAAAAUCAAUCUAGAGGAACAACUAAACCACCAGGUCCAGAAGGAAAAUAUGCUUUCAGUAACUGCACAAGAUGCUCAGAAUUUGUGGGAAGAAGAACUGAAAUUAAAAUCAAAACUUGGGAUUCGCCUUUCUGAGCUUGAUAAGGAAAAGACAGAACUAAUAUCUCAGUUUGAGAAUGAAAAGAAAAAAGUAAAGAAGGUACUAGAAUUAAAGCGAUCAGUGGAAAUGCGACUAGAUCAAGAAAUGAAAAGGAACAGUGAAUUACAAAAAGAAUAUCAUGGUAUAAAAAAAGUUCUAAAAAUAACCAAAAAGAAGUUAAAAGGUUAUGAGAGUGGAGAAAGUUCAUCUCAAAUCAGCUUACAUGGAGAAAUAAAGAAUAAAUAUUCGGAAAUCGACAAUGAAGUUGGAAAAUUAAGAAAAAGGGUUGAUGAACUUUCUCGCCAUUUGGAGGUUGAGUCAACAAGAAGUACCCAACUGGAAUCUACCAAUUGUGAACUACGUGAACAAUUAGCAUCUAUGAAGUUAUUCCAUAAGAAUCAUGAAAAAUUAGAAAAAAGCAAAUUGCAACUAGAAGAAGAGGUAGCUAACCUCAAACGCCAAGUACAGGGUAACUUAAUAGAUCUCAGCCAAGUGGAACAAUACAAAAGAGAGAUCGAAGAACGAGCUAAACAAGAGAUAAGACAAAAAUUGGAAGAAGUCAAUUUCUUUUUGCAGACACAGGCUGCUUCUCAAGAAACUUUGGAACAGAUAAGAGCUACUAGUAAUGCUUCUUUGAGAAAUCAAUUGGAGAACAGAAUUAAAGAAUUAGAAUCAGAGUUGGCCAAAUUUAAAAACAGCCAUCAAGAUAGCAUAUUACAAAAAGAAUCUACACAUACAGAAUUGGAAAGAUAUAAAGGAUUGUAUUCAGAAGAACUAAAAAUACGGAAAUCUUUGGGGAGCAAAUUGGAUAGAGCUAAUGCGAAAUUAGCAGAAGCCAAUACUCAACUCUAUCAUGAGCGUCACAAAAACAAGUCUUUACUUGCCAACAGCUUUAUAAGUGGAAGCCUUUCUUCAAGUCCUGUCCUGGAAACAGUUCAGAUGGGAAAUCUUGGCAACAAUUUAGCAUUAAAUAAAUCUCUUAACCUUGGAGGAGGAUUCCUGAACACAAAUGGAACUGCAUUAGCCUCAAAAAACAGAGUGGAAGCUUACUUAGCAAAGAAACCUGUAAAGAGAGACAGAGAAGGUAAAGAAAAACUAGACAUGAGUGAGGAAGAAACUGGAAGUGGAAGGAGGCAGAAUGAGAAUAAGGCAUGUAAAGAGGGAGAGAAAAAGCAAGUAGAUUAGUCACUUUCAUUUCUGUCAUCAAAAACCAUACACUUAUGGCUUGCUCUUUACUUCUUCAGCUCCUUGAUCAAAAAUCUAAUUCUCCCUUCUCUUCUCUGCAACCAGAAACUUAACAAGAUGCAGAUGGAAUUAGAAAAAAGUAUCACAAAAGAACUGGACCAAGCUAAAGCUGAACUUGAUGCCGGAUCUGUUAGAGUCUCCCCUGUAGGAUCAGUUGAUGGAUCUUCAAAAAAAUCAAAUAUAGACCAAGAUCAAGUUUCCAAGGCAAGACAGCAGUAUCUAGAUGUUUUAAAGAAAAACUAUAUGAUUUGAAUAAAGUCUGCAAACUUGUA
Molecule: RNA transcript, 7275 nt
Organism: Pantherophis guttatus
Lineage: Eukaryota; Metazoa; Chordata; Lepidosauria; Squamata; Colubridae
Gene: ANKRD26
Gene name: ankyrin repeat domain 26
Source: RefSeq, a predicted model, not a curated record